CAAUAGUGUAUAUUAAAGUUGUUGCGGUUAAAAAGCUCGUAGUUGGAUCUCGGCAGGCAGGGGGUGGUUCGCUCUUAGCGCUACUGCCCCAUUUGCCUGUGUGAUUGGCGGAGGUUUCGGGGUGCUCUUCGUUGAGUGACCCGGGGCGCCGUCAGGUUUACUUUGAAAAAAUUAGAGUGCUCAAAGCAGGCUUUUCACGCUUGAAUAUUCGUGCAUGGAAUAAUGGAAUAGGAACUCGUUUCUAUUUUGUUGGUUUUCGGAAAUCGAGUUAAUGAUUAAUAGGGACAAUUGGGGGCAUUAGUAUUCAGACGACAGAGGUGAAAUUCUUGGACCGUCUGAAGACUAACUACUGCGAAAGCAUUUGCCAAGAGUGUUUUCAUUAA
This 383-nucleotide ribosomal RNA is filed under the name uncultured eukaryote. RNAcentral's name for it is "partial 18S ribosomal RNA". It matches the Rfam family "Eukaryotic small subunit ribosomal RNA", at positions 592 to 976 of the family's 1831-position model. The record is from RNAcentral.